This 29-nucleotide non-coding RNA is filed under the name unclassified sequences. The record is from RNAcentral.
CUAUGGUUUAGAAACCAUGGCGGAAGGAG